UCCCUGGUGGCUUAGAUGGUAAAGAAUCCGCCUUCAAUGCAGGAGACCUGGGUUCAAUCCCUGGAUUGGGAA
This is a transfer RNA of Ovis aries (sheep), 72 nucleotides long. It matches the Rfam family "tRNA". From Rfam's summary of the family: Transfer RNA (tRNA) molecules are approximately 80 nucleotides in length. Their secondary structure includes four short double-helical elements and three loops (D, anti-codon, and T loops). NCBI's taxonomy places the organism in Eukaryota, Metazoa, Chordata, Mammalia, Artiodactyla, Bovidae. The record is from Rfam.